GAUGAACGCUGACAGAAUGCUUAACACAUGCAAGUCUUUGGCGAAGCUGUGCUUGCACAGCCUAGCCAAGGCGGACGGGUGAGUAACGCGUAAGGAACUUGCCCUGCAGUCAGGGAUAACAGACGGAAACGACUGAUAAGACCUGGUAAAGUCAGGCGGACUCAUGUCCAGCCUGAUGAAAAGAGAUGCUGCAGGAGAGCCUUGCGUCCUAUUAGCUUGUUGGUGGGGUAACGGCCCACCAAGGCGAUGAUAGGUAGCCGGCCUGAGAGGGUGGACGGCCACAAGGGGACUGAGAUACGGCCCUUACUCCUACGGGAGGCAGCAGUGGGGAAUAUUGGACAAUGGGGGCAACCCUGAUCCAGCAAUUCUGUGUGCACGAUGAAGGUUUUCGGAUUGUAAAGUGCUUUCAGCAGGGAAGAAAAAAUGACGGUACCUGCAGAAGAAGCGACGGCUAAAUACGU
RNAcentral lists this ribosomal RNA (461 nucleotides) under uncultured bacterium. RNAcentral's name for it is "partial 16S ribosomal RNA". It matches the Rfam family "Bacterial small subunit ribosomal RNA", at positions 28 to 506 of the family's 1533-position model. The record is from RNAcentral.